This 451-nucleotide ribosomal RNA is filed under the name uncultured bacterium. RNAcentral describes it as "bacterial SSU rRNA". It matches the Rfam family "Bacterial small subunit ribosomal RNA", at positions 340 to 786 of the family's 1533-position model. The record is from RNAcentral.
UACGGAAGGCAGCGGUGGGGAAUAUUGCACAAUGGGCGCAAGCCUGAUGCAGCCAUGCCGCGUGUAUGAAGAAGGCCUUCGGGUUGUAAAGUACUUUCAGUCGUGAGGAAGGUGUUAAGGUUAAUAACCUUAGCAAUUGACGUUAGCGACAGAAGAAGCACCGGCUAACUCCGUGCCAGCAGCCGCGGUAAUACGGAGGGUGCGAGCGUUAAUCGGAAUUACUGGGCUAAAGGGCACGCAGGCGGUUAAUUAAGUUGGAUGUGAAUCCCCGGGCUUAACCUGGGAAUGGCAUUCAAGACUGGUUAGCUAGAGUCUUGUAGAGGGGGUAGAAUUCCAUAUGUAGCGGUGAAAUGCGUAGAGAUGUGGAGGAAUACCGGUGGCGAAGGCGGCCCCUGGACAAAGACUGACGCUCAUGUGCGAAAGCGUGGGGAGCAAACAGGGAUUAGAUACC